RNAcentral lists this transfer RNA (84 nucleotides) under Anaerolineae bacterium. RNAcentral describes it as "tRNA-Leu". It matches the Rfam family "tRNA". From Rfam's summary of the family: Transfer RNA (tRNA) molecules are approximately 80 nucleotides in length. Their secondary structure includes four short double-helical elements and three loops (D, anti-codon, and T loops). The record is from RNAcentral. Lineage: Bacteria; Bacillati; Chloroflexota; Anaerolineae.
GGGGGAGUGGCGGAACUGGCAGACGCGCCGAUUUUAGGGGUCGGUGAGCUCACGCUCGUGGGGGUUCGAGUCCCCCCUUCCCUA